This 245-nucleotide ribosomal RNA is filed under the name uncultured bacterium. Its description in RNAcentral is "partial 16S ribosomal RNA". It matches the Rfam family "Bacterial small subunit ribosomal RNA", at positions 524 to 768 of the family's 1533-position model. The record is from RNAcentral.
UACGAAGGUGGCAAGCGUUACUCGGAAUUACUAGGCGUAAAGGGCAGGUAGGUGGUUUGAUAAGUCUGUUGUGUAAGCUCCCGGCUUAACUGGGAGAGGUCAACAGAUACUGUCGGGCUUGAGUAUGGGAGAGGUUACUGGAAUUCCCGGUGUAGCGGUGAAAUGCGCAGAUAUCGGGAGGAACACCAAUGGCGAAAGCAGGUAACUGGACCAUUACUGACACUCAGCUGCGAAAGCUAGGGGAG